UAGAGAUCUUUGAAUGAACAUCCCAUUGUUUAUUACAAGACCUAUUACCACUGAAGCAGAUUUUUGUUGUUUUCUUUUCCCUAACUAAUGUCAGUUACCCAGUAGAGCUGAGCAGAAGUCUAAAAUCCCAUUAUUGGGAUUUUUACUCUAAACACUUAGAGCAUCCCUUUCUCACAGUUAAAAAUAAAUUUAAUGUAAAAACAAAUGAAUAUAUGAUCAGAUUAGGUUGAGGCUUUGAUUUUGUUGAUUCUUGUGUAUUAAUAUAAUGCCAAUCUAAUUGCUCUAUGAAGUUGAAUCUACUUUGAAUUCCCAGUGCACUGUUUCUAUCUACAUUUCCACAUCCCAUUUGGUCCUGCCAAUUCAACAUGUUCUGCUAUGUGCCUCUCUCUACUCGAGCAAUUGGACACCCAGUCAAUGACAGCACAUUGGGUCCUCCAAGUCAUGGAUUUUGUUUCUAUAUUGAAUAGUAUUUCUCUCUUGUUUGAAUCAAUGCUCCAAGAAAAAUAUUUUUUGAAAUGAUUUGUUCAACUGCAGAUAAAUAUCAAGGUUAUAUGGAAUACAAUUCUUUUUUUUUUUGUUUCUUUAAUGAUGAAAAUAAAAUUAUCACAAACUUUUUGUAC
Non-coding RNA from Biomphalaria pfeifferi, 620 nucleotides. The record is from the annotation of a GenBank genome assembly. Lineage: Eukaryota; Metazoa; Mollusca; Gastropoda; Planorbidae.